UCUAUCCAGGCCUCGUAUACUGCACGGA
This 28-nucleotide small RNA is filed under the name Bombyx mori (domestic silkworm). Its description in RNAcentral is "ovarian small RNA-29523". Lineage: Eukaryota; Metazoa; Arthropoda; Insecta; Lepidoptera; Bombycidae. The record is from RNAcentral.